RNAcentral lists this ribosomal RNA (129 nucleotides) under Microcebus murinus (gray mouse lemur). Lineage: Eukaryota; Metazoa; Chordata; Mammalia; Primates; Cheirogaleidae. The record is from RNAcentral.
GUCUAUGGGUCUACCACCCUGAAUGCACCCAAUCUCAGAAGCUAAGCAAGGUCGGGCCUGGUUAGCACUUGGAUGGGAAAAUGACCUUUUUUUUUUUUUUUUUUGAGACAGAGUCUUGCUUUGUUGCCC